AUAGCUAAACUAAAUAAAGCAUUUCACUUACACCGAAAAAUUGCCCGUGCAAAUCGGACUACUCUGACACCUAAGAGCUAGCUGUACGUAAUACUCAACACAAAAUAUCAAUACAUAUUAAUGUACUAGUAGAUAAAACCAAACCAUUUUUCAUGUCUUAGUAUAGGAGAUAGAAAAGGACAAUCAAGCUAUAGACCAAGUACCGCAAGGGAACGCUGAAAAAGAGAUGAAACAGCACAGUAAAGUAGAAUAAAGCAGAGAUAAGACCUCGUACCUUUUGCAUCAUGAUUUAGUAAGAACUGGGUCAGCAAAAUGUUUUCUAGUUGGCUUCCCCGAAACUAGGUGAGCUACUCCGGGACAGCCUGAUAAUAGGGCAAACACGUCCCUGUGGCAAAAGGGUGUGAAGAUCCCCGAGUAGCGGCGACAAACCUACCGAACCUAGUUAUAGCUGGUUGUCUGAGACUUAAAUAAGAGUUUAGCCUUUUAUUUUCUGAAUUUAACAAUGACUCAAUCAUCACGACAAUGAAAGAAAAUUAAAGAGUUAUUCAUAAGGGGCUCAGCCCUUAUGAAAAAGGAUACAACCUUGCUAGGUGAUUAAGGACAUAAAUAAAGUUGAUGUCUUAGUGGGCUUAAAAGCAGCCACCUAGAAAAAAGCGUUAAAGC
RNAcentral lists this ribosomal RNA (663 nucleotides) under Nothobranchius taeniopygus (striped nothobranch). Its description in RNAcentral is "partial 16S ribosomal RNA". The stretch from base 253 to 663 matches the Rfam family "Bacterial large subunit ribosomal RNA", at positions 568 to 1141 of the family's 2925-position model. The record is from RNAcentral. Lineage: Eukaryota; Metazoa; Chordata; Actinopteri; Cyprinodontiformes; Nothobranchiidae.